This 3736-nucleotide long non-coding RNA is filed under the name Triticum aestivum (bread wheat). Its description in RNAcentral is "long non-coding RNA (TAES_LNC017864)". Lineage: Eukaryota; Viridiplantae; Streptophyta; Magnoliopsida; Poales; Poaceae. The record is from RNAcentral.
UCUUAUGUUCCAAUUUUUUGUUUUGGUGCUGUACUCAAACCCUAGCUCUGCUGAUCUUAGGUUGGGCAUGCAACAACGACGAACUCAUGUGGGUAGGUCUCAGCUCGUUGGCACGAGUUCUCACCUUUCCCAUUUCUGGUGCUGUCGGCCCUCUACCAAUGUAUUCCCUCCGUUCCAAAAUAGAUGACUCAACUUUGUAAUAACUAUAGUAUAAAGUUAGUACAAAGUUGGGUAAUCUAUUUUGAAACGGAGGGAGUAAGUCCUACUGCUUUGCAUAGUUCCUAGUACUGAUCGGCUCUUGUACUCUGUCCAUGGCACUAUACAGUACAUUUUGUUUUAUUUGUUAUUAUCACCAUGCCCUGUCAAAUUAGAUUAUUUAUACAUAACUAAGUGAAUGCAAGAAGGUUUGUAUUUAUUAAUUGAAAGUUAUGGUCGUUAGAAUGAAGCAGAAGUGCUGAAGCAGAUUUUGAAGAAAUGGUAAGAUAGGAGAUGUGUCCGCUGGCUGAGUCGAGUUGUUCAUGAUGUCAGAUUUCCACCUAUGUAGUUUGCUACAGCUUCACAUCAUUCCUACUUCCUCCAUAGCGGGUGAUCUUUGCAUGUAUGUUUUCCCCUCUAACCGAGCUAAAAGGAAAUAAUGGUUUUAUUUGUUAUUACCAUAUAUUUACAAGUUAUAUUACUUGUACAUUUAUUUAACGUGAAGCAAUAUACAUAUGUUAUUUGACAUAUAAUGGGUUUUCUAUGCGAUGAAUAUAAUAUUGCGGCUUUUCUAAUGUUUCUCUUGAGCUGAAAAGACUUUAGGAUAGGAGAAUUGGUAUAUGAAGAGUAGGAAACUCAUAUUUCGAAUAAAUACUAUAUGGCUUGCUUCUGGUAGUGCUAACUUCAGAGCCUUUAUCAACCUCUUUGGUAUUUUUUGUGCUCUCCUUACGGCUGCAGUAAAUGUACAUAUUAUUUUGCCACAAUGACAACUGAGUCUUCAUCUUCAAGCAUCGUAAUUUUUACUUUUGCUUCAACACAUUUCGUGUUCCCAGUGUUACAAUCUUCAUCCUUUCUUUUUGGCACACUUAUCUUGGCACAUUCAUCCUCUGAGCCAUCUGAUAAUACAGUAUAUCUCUAUAUUUUUCUUUUUCAAUUGCAGAGUCCAUGUGAUUCUAACAUUUUUUCUUCACGCCCAUCAUCAUUUAAUAUAGCCCCAUUUGUAUUGUGGGGUUCUUCUUCCGUAGGCACCCGUUGACAUCUUUUUCUGAGGUGAAGCUCUGUUGUUAUUUGUCUGCGAAAUAAAAAUACAUUUCAAAGAUUAGGCCCAUCUCUAAAAUUUGAGAAGUAUGUACGCUGACAAAAGUAGUCACCCUUUUAUCCUCCAUGUUAUGCUUCUUUGUUGCUUUUUUUAAACAUGGCUUCCACAUUAUCAUCCAUCAAAAUGUAUGCAUAAUAUCUUAUGUAUUAGUUAGGAAAUUACAAAAACAGUACUUACUCCCUCCGUCUUAAAAUAAGUGUCUCAAUUUUGUACUAACUUUAGUGCAAAGUUGUACUAAAGUUGAGACACUUAUUUUGGGACGGAGGGAGUAUUUUGUAAUGAAUUAAAUGCAACUUUACCUCGGUUUUAUCUUUCAAGUACAACAUCUCAGGCCUAUUAAUUAUCAGGCAUAAAUGUUCAUUUUACUGCAUAGUUUUUGUUUCGAAAGUGAGAUUGCCAUCGUGAGUUUAAUUGAAAAUAAGUCUUCGUCGACAUUAUUGCUGUAUAUUCUUUGGCGCUUCUUCAUAUUUCUCAUCCAAUGAGUUCAGCAAGUGGGAGAGAUAAUUAAAUAAAAUAUGGUUCCAGUAUAACCGAUAUUGACUUGUUUUCACUGUAGGUUUUAACAUUGUUUUUGUCGUAAAAAAAGUGGUGACUUCAUAUCUUAGAAGAAGUCGGAUGCAUUACCUCACUUGCCUAGUUUUCAUGCCUCAUUUCAGUAAGUUCUUGUAAUGUUCUCCUCUUGUAAAACACUUGUUCUUCUAGUGUUCCUUGCGUACUUCUAUCUAUCUCUAUUAAUUUUGGUAAAGCUUCUUCUGAUGAGUUCCUGCACAUAUGAACUGAGUCAAGUAUAAUAAGUAUCUUACAUUAUUGGUGAAUAAAGAUGAGUCAAGAUAAAUUAGUUGAUUAAUAGUAAAAAAUGGUCUUCCAUGCAUGUCAAGAAUUUCCCAAGUUUUGGUAUACCUAGAUCUGCACCUAUUCUUGUGGCAUUGGUUGACUUUAAGCACAACCAUGUUUAUCAGUGAAAAAUCCGUUAGAUAUAUUUUCGGUAAAUAAUAGAAGAGCUUGUAGGUUCUAACAUUAAGGAACUUACGAUCGAACUUCUGCACCAUUGUGAGGUCACAAUAAGGACAGUUUGGUUUCUAGUUACAUCCUCAUUCAAAAUAUUAGAAAACUUUCCCCAUAAAGUAACACCACUUUUCUCACCCAUAAAGAGUAUAAGCCGAAAAAUUGAUGCUAACCACAAUGAAGUUAGUCCAGUUAAAAUUUGAUGGGUAUGAAUUAUGCACUUACUCUGAUAUUGGAUUUAAUCUAGCGGAAAUACAAAGGUUCUGAGUUAUUUGACAUCUGUAAAAUUGGAGAUUAAAUAUUUUGAAGUCUGAAAUAUUAAUAUCUUGAAAAUCUUAUUUACAAGUAUAAACUAUAGAGGUACCUGAGCAUUCUUCAUCUUUCUCUGCAUGUGUUCUUCUAGUAUUUCCUCUGUAGCAAACUCGAAGUAGUAAUCUGGGUAACCUUUAGAUGAUCCUUUCACCUCCUAUACAUUUGUAUUUUAUGCAAAAAUAAUUAUAUUUCACUACUCAGUUGGUAAUACUUUGUGGAAUCCGCAAACUUAAAAUUGCUAAAUGCAUAGAUUGAUUCUAUCAACUUCCCGAUAGUAGCAUGAAUUUUUUGGCCCUGUCAGAACAAUCAAAAUAUAGUUAGUAGUUACUGUAUAAAAAAUAGAAAAUUUUGCAAGUAAUAAAUAUGUAUGAAAAAACCUUAUCAUCCAUGAAUAUCAUAUCGACAAAAUACACUUAGUUGUUGUAUAAAACAAAAUUGGACAAUCUGCUAGCAAAUAUGUAAUGACUAAACCUUUUCAUCCAUGAAUCAUCAUAUCGAGGCUCUUAAGCAAAUUACUUGUAAAAUUGAUUAAAUCUCAUAUUCUCAUUACUUGUACUUUAAUGUCAAUCUCCUUCUCUUGUUGUGAACUCGCAAAGAUUGUUGUAUGCCCUUGCUGCAAAAGUAUCAUACGAUCGCUAGUCAAGUAAGACUGUACCUGAAGAUUGUAUGCAGAAUAGCAAAUACAAACCUUGAUGAUCGAGAUGACAGGCCACUCGGAAGAUAGAUUGGAUCUAGAAUAGAAGUUAUGAACCUUGAUGAUUCAGGUGAGAGGCCACUUAGAAGGUUCCUUGGUGUGACUUCGUCCGGCGGCGCGACGUUGCGUAGUUGAAUCAGAAGACUUUGAUUUUGUCGGUAGUGUGCUGGCUAGGUUGCAGAUUGUAUGUCUUCUUAUGUGUUGUGGUUGACUCUGCAAGUAGUACGUGUUGAGUAAUUUUGGUUGAGUCCGUGUGUUCUAUAUGUAGUCCAUGUAUGUGUCUUAUUUGUAUGUGUGUGUCCACAUUUGACUGUUUUUUGAUGCGGUGUCCAUGUUUGGAAUUGGCUGCACCUGAGCUUCCGUAUCUUGAACGGUUUGUCUCAUGUAUUUAUGCUUUUGCCAUGAACCCCUAAACCUCAUACGUGGUUAUG